AUUUAACAGGAUGACUCUGGGCACUGUGUUAACAAGAGACUGAAGGGGACAAGAGUAGAAACGGAUAACCAGUUUGGAGUCUACUGUAGCAAUUCUGGUAACAGAUGAUGACGUCGGCCAGUAACAGCAGAAGUGAAAAUAUGUGGUAGAUUAUGGGUAUAUUGUGAGGGUAAAUCUAUUUGAACUUUUUUAUGGUGUGAGAAGGAAAGAAGAAGCAUGGACGACUCUAAGAAAACUUGAUUUGAUAUGAGCUAAAAGGGGGAAGAAAAGUAAAAAGCAGAUACAGAUAUUUUGCCCUUUUGGAAACUGAAGAUAAAACAGAAAAAGAAAAGAAUUUUAAGAUAUGUUAAUCUAGCAAAACUAACAUAAGAAUGGCCACCGUGAAUUUCAUGAAAUUUUGCCACAGAGCAAUACUAAAAACUGAAUGAUUAUGCCUUUUUCCAUAUUUUAAUUAAAACUGAAAUGAAAAUACUCACUGUUGGAAAGUAAAGAAAUUAAGCCAUA
Molecule: long non-coding RNA, 504 nt
Filed under: Homo sapiens (human)
Lineage: Eukaryota; Metazoa; Chordata; Mammalia; Primates; Hominidae
Description: HSALNT0326232
Source: RNAcentral